This is a long non-coding RNA of Monodelphis domestica (gray short-tailed opossum), 1754 nucleotides long. NCBI's taxonomy places the organism in Eukaryota, Metazoa, Chordata, Mammalia, Didelphimorphia, Didelphidae. The record is from Ensembl.
CUGGGAAUCCACUGGAAUUUUCUUUCUUUCUUCUUUUUCUUUUUAUUAUUCUGGUUUAUGUGCUGAGUCACCCUAGCCUCAGGCAAGUUCCUUUACCCCAGUGACCCUAACAAAGAGUCAAGUAGGAUGAGCAGGUUCAUGCCAGGCCUGGACUGUCUGCCACGCCUCUCCUGCUCUCCCUUCUGACCCUAGUGGCACUGAACCCCAGCCUUGACCCAGUCACAGGUUGUGGCCUAGGGCCAAACUUAUAUAGAGUCCAGACAAAUGAGGGUUCUGUAUCUAGUCUGAGAGUAAAGAGGAAGUCUAGGGAGAGGGGUCUAGAGGGAGUAAAAAUGGCUUAAAAAUGUGACGCAGAGUUGUACAAAGUCAUCAGCCUCACUCUCUCUUCCUGACUAGUUGCCAAUGGGAUGACCUGGAGCAAGCCAAGGAUGAGGUGAGGAAAUGGAGGCAAACAGAGUUAAAUGACUUACCCAGGAUCACACAGCUAGCAAGUAUCUGAGAUAAGGUUUGAACCCAGGACUUCUGACUCCAGGCCAGGCACUCUACCCAAAACACUACCACCUUCUGAGUAAGGGACAAUCUUGCUUUCUUAUUUUUUACAGGUCCUGGCAUAUACAUAUAAUAAGCAAUUAAUAAAUGCUCUCUGUCUCCUUCUUGGUUUGUCUGUUUCUCUUAUUUUAUAGCUAAGGAAAUUGAUACUGAAAGUUAAGUGACUUGGCCUCAGUGGCAAUCCAAGAUUUGCUUCCUCGUAUCCAGGUCUAAGAUCCGUGUUCUUUCAGCCUGAGGGAAAAGCAAAAGUAACUAUGUUUGAGAAUGAAACCUACAGCUUGAUCCUUAUUAUUGAACUUGAACCUUAUUUGUGAACCAAGAUCAGAGAAAAGUGAAGCAAUAUUUCACCAGGAAGUUUCUGGAGAAUUUUUGAGCUGGACAUGUUGACUUUCCCAUGCAAAGGUUCAUUCACUUGUCCCAAAAGAGGGAUUCAGUGUGGGAAAGAGUUCAUCAGGGCUGUGAGAAGAUCAGCUAGUCAGAUGGAGAGGCCCAGGAGUGUGAUAUGGUGGAAUGGACCAUUACCCCUGAAGCAUUGUUCAUCCCAGGAAAUUUGAACUUCCUCUGAUAACUGGUAAAACUGGGGAAGUGACUCAAGGUGGAUCUGAGCCCUAGCUAAGGUGCUUCAUGAUGCCUGGCUCUCCUCUCACCAGCACCCAAUCAGGCAGCACUAUGGAUUAUAUUGACAUGGAGAGGAUAUAACAUUGUAAAUAGAAGACUAGCCUUAGAACUAAGAAGACUUGGAUUGAAAUCCUGCCUUAUAUACUUAUUAACCAGGUGAUCUUGGGUCACCUCUUUCACUAUGGAAGUCUACUGUCAGAUGCAAAGAAUAUCUGUAACACCUUUCUCUAAGAAACAAUGUUUAUUGGCCUCUUGGUCCAAAUUUAACUAUUGUCUUCAGCAGACAGUCUACGAUGACAGCUGAAUCUCUUUCUCAAGACCAGAGAUCCAGAAGAAGAAUUUGGAAUAUUUCUCUCUAAAUGUGUGAGCUUAUAUUGGCCAACACUGAAGCCCAUCUACCCUUUUUUUCUGUUCUUUCUGUUUCAUAAGAUCUUUCUGAAGUUUCUCCACUUCAGCUUGAUUUUUAAGUAUCCCAAGGGAAUAAUAACCUAUUUAGGGACCUUGGGACAUAAGAUAUAUUGGCACAUUUGUACAGCUGGAGUGGGGAAGACAGGUGGGAACUCACAAUAAAAAAAAUGGGCAAGUCA